UCAAACAUCGUGUUCUUUAUUGUUGCUUUGAAUGAAUGAAUGCUGAUUGGCGCUGUUGAAGCGCACUAAAAGCGGCGAAUAACGAAGAAGAAUAACGGAGAAGAAAGAGAUCUGCAAUCUCUAUUUCAUCCAUUUUCGUUGCAUUCUCAAAGCCUCGAUUGUUAAUUAAUUUGCAUCCCUAUCUGCUCUCUCACCCUGGUGGUUUUCCUUUGACUUUGUUUUUGUGGUUCUGUUUCCUUAAUUGUUUUCUUGCUCCAGUUUUGUUUAUUCUUCUUGCCAAUGGACAACGUUUCCACAUUGUUUGCUCUCAGCCACUGAUUAAACCUUUAAAAAUGCAUCAAAAGAUGAACAGUCGAGAUGAUUUGGCCACGGAAAGGCACUCUUUCCCCCUCAGCUCCGACUUUUAUCGGUAAUAAUGGGAAGGAGCGUCCGUCGGAAGGAAUGCUGAGAGUUGAUUUUGGUUUAUAUUCCGACAUAAAUUUUAAAUAAACUUUAAAAACUUUCGAAAGACAAAUCAUAAAACGGAGGCUAACUAAAAUUUCAUCUGGCAAUGUGCCGCAGGAAGAAGGGAGAAGGGAGAAUCACUUCCCAGAAAAAUGUUAUGUAAUAUUUAUAUUGGUGGAGAAGGAAAUCUUGAUAUAUUACAAUGGACAAGCUCCCCUUGAUUUUUCUUUAAUUAAAGUCGCCUCGCAUCGGAAAUAAGUUGCUUUCCCGCUGAGCGGGGAGUUCAACAACGGCAGAAAUUUAAUAAAAAUGUCAGAAGUGGGACGAAGGGAAAAGACAUGGCCACCCGCGAUAAUUAUGAAAUUGAAGUAAUUUUUCCAGCUGUCACUGGGGGAAGUUUUCCAGCUAAGGGACUCUAGCGGAGAACUGACCAACCGACAGCUUUAAGGGUGAUGGAGAAGAGAAAAGGUGGAUCCGAGCGUGUGGAAGGCAAAUGGAAGGAGAAGGAAGGAUGUGGGCUUACACGUGCUGCCAAUGUCAUUCCGGCAACAUUUUGACAAUUUGUGGUAAACAAAUAGGAAAGUCAGGAGGAAGGAUGGAAGGGUGGGAUGUCCUUUUGCUGAAUUAUUCAUAAAUACGCAACGCAUUUGCCGUCUUGUUCUGAGCUCCGUGGAAAAUGUUCCCCAACAGUCUAUGACAGGCGAAAGAAAAUGCGAGCACAGACUUGUUUCGAAGGUGUGGCUGACACCGAAUAUCUGUGGGAAUCCGUUUGGAAGACAUCUCCACGAAUAUUCGCCGAGACUUCUGGCUAUGCAAAUCAGUUGA
RNAcentral lists this small RNA (1269 nucleotides) under Drosophila pseudoobscura pseudoobscura. RNAcentral describes it as "GA32866". Lineage: Eukaryota; Metazoa; Arthropoda; Insecta; Diptera; Drosophilidae. The record is from RNAcentral.